GCAUUGUUGGUUCAGUGGUAGAACUCUCACCUUCCAUGUGGGCGACCGGGUUCAAUUCCCGUUCAGUGCA
RNAcentral lists this transfer RNA (70 nucleotides) under Loxodonta africana (African savanna elephant). It matches the Rfam family "tRNA". From Rfam's summary of the family: Transfer RNA (tRNA) molecules are approximately 80 nucleotides in length. The record is from Rfam by way of RNAcentral. Lineage: Eukaryota; Metazoa; Chordata; Mammalia; Proboscidea; Elephantidae.